UUCUAUGGCCAUGCCACUCUGAACAAGCCCAAUCCCGUCUGAUUUCGGAAGCUAAGCAGAGUCGUGCUUGGUUAGUACUUGGAUGGGAGACCACCUAGGAAGACCAAGUGCUGCAGGCA
This 119-nucleotide ribosomal RNA is filed under the name Pteropus alecto (black flying fox). The record is from RNAcentral. Lineage: Eukaryota; Metazoa; Chordata; Mammalia; Chiroptera; Pteropodidae. RNAcentral also lists the same sequence under 1 other name.